RNAcentral lists this ribosomal RNA (511 nucleotides) under uncultured Actinomycetes bacterium. RNAcentral describes it as "bacterial SSU rRNA". It matches the Rfam family "Bacterial small subunit ribosomal RNA", at positions 384 to 896 of the family's 1533-position model. The record is from RNAcentral. Lineage: Bacteria; Bacillati; Actinomycetota; Actinomycetes.
UGACGCAGCGACGCGCGUGAGGAGAAGGCCUCGGUUGUAAACUCUUCAGGAGGACGAAGCCACUCGGGUUAAUAGCCCAGAGGGUGACGGUACCUCCAGAAGAAGCCCCGGCUAACUACGUGCCAGCAGCCGCGGUAAUACGUAGGGGGCAAGCGUUGUCCGGAUUAUUGGGCGUAAAGAGCGUGUAGGCGGCCAUACAGGUCAGCUGUGAAAACUCGAGGCUCAACCUCGAGACGUCGGUUGAAACCGUUUGGCUAGAGUCCGGAAGAGGAGAGUGGAAUUCCCGGUGUAGCGGUGAAAUGCGCAGAUAUCGGGAAGAACACCCGUGGCAAAGGCGGCUCUCUGGGACGGUACUGACGCUGAGACGCGAAAGCGUGGGGAGCGAACAGGAUUAGAUACCCUGGUAGUCCACGCCGUAAACGAUGGGUACUAGGUGUGGCGGGUGUCGACUCCCGCUGUGCCGAAGCUAACGCAUUAAGUACCCCGCCUGGGGAGUACGGCCGCAAGGCUA